AGCUGUGCUGCCAAAUAGUCCUGGCUGAGUGGCCUUCCUCUGGUGUGUGGCUGCCUUGUCAGGGCCGCUACACUCUUAGAGGAAACUGACCCUUCCUUCCUUCCCCACAACUAACAAAAGACAAUACAAGUUUCUGUCUGACACCAAAAGUUUGUGUAACGUGAAGUAAAUCUGCCUAGUUUUAGAAUUCCACGUUAUUUAUGGACAUUUUUCCUGUGCGGUAAUUUGUUCUGUAAUGAAGUGCCUGGGGGAAUAGGGUUAUAGUUUUUCACCCCCACCUCUUUUGAGGUGCCCUGGUUUCUGGGAACGAUUGCUUAGUCUGCUUUUUUUCCUCCCUAAGUUGUGUAGACUUAGAAACUGGAUCCCCAUUCUUACCAUGAACUAUUUGAAAUGAUAAGAAAUGUGUUUUGGUCUCCAGUGUGAGAGUGGUGGCAGUAAGGACACAUUACCUCCCUUUUUACUAACACUGCUUUGUUGCUCUGGGCUGCAGUGUUUCACACAUCUUGCCACGGAGAAUCCCAACAGCACUCUUGGUGCAGUUGCCUUAUUUUAUGUUGGGUAAACUGAGGCACAGUGAAGCUACAGCAUUACCUAUCUGUGGGCUUGAAUUAGUUGUGUCCAUGUAUGCACCGUAUGAGCUUACCCAAUAGGACAUCAUUCUUAGGAACUUUGUGUUAUCUGUUGUUUUAACAAAGAAAUUCACAUUCUUUUUACAAAGAGAGUUUUUUUUUUUUUUUAAAUUCAUUUUUUCAUGUAUAACCUAGCAGUUCUUGUUGGAAAUCUCAAGCUCUGCUUGAUAAAUUCUGUCAGUCUGGUUACAUACAGUGUGCUAGCGGCUGUCUAAGGCGCCAGUUCCUAUUGUUUGUUUGUGAGGUGUUUUUGCUUUUUUUUCCCUUUUCUUGACACAAAGUCUCACUGAGCUGGUAUCAAACUUAGGGCGUUUCUUUCACCUCUGUUUUUGAGUGCUGGAGUUAGAGGCAUGUAUCACCAGACUUAGUAUCUCUGUCUUCAUGAAGCUUAUUCUCUUGGGAGCGUAGGUGGAGAAAAAGUACUCAGAAAUAAAUGCAUACUUAAAAUGUUAGCAUGCACAGUACAGAUAGACAUCUGUGCAUAGAAGUGUGCUAGAUUCUAGGAAAUUGAUGUUGCACUAAUCUCAGACAUAUGAAAUAAUAUUCCCCCUUGGGGUGUAUUAUGAAUGUUUUCCUCUUUAUUUCACUGUGUUUUAAAUUUAUUUAUUUUAAUGAGUACACUGUAGCUGUCUUCAGACACACACCAGAAGGCAGCACCGCUUGCACACUGACCCGGAAGUUCCUCACUUUUGUAUGUCUCCUGUGCAUGUCUUCUUUUCCUUGUUUUUUUUUUUUUCUUUCCCAAACCUCAAGAUGAUAGAAGUAGUUUUUAGGGUACAUUUUAUGUUCCACGCUGUGACUUUAAAAACAUGCCAAUCAAGCGUCCUCUCUUUUCUUCUCCAUCCCUACCUGGGGGGGGGGGGGAAUAAAUACAAGUUACAUAGCUUAUU
RNAcentral lists this long non-coding RNA (1519 nucleotides) under Mus pahari (shrew mouse). Its description in RNAcentral is "predicted gene 20712 (MGP_PahariEiJ_G0033079.1)". Lineage: Eukaryota; Metazoa; Chordata; Mammalia; Rodentia; Muridae. The record is from RNAcentral.